CACCAGGUUGAUUCUGCCUGACGUAGACGCUAUUCCCUAAGAUUAACCCAUGCAUGUUUUUGACAUUUGAAAAAUGGACUGCUCAGUAAUACUCACUUUAUUUUAUGUAAAUUUUUGAUUAAUUAACUACGUUAAAGUGUAGAUAAGAUGUUUACAGUAAGAGUGAGACCUAUCAGCUAGUUGUUAAGGUAAUGGCUUAACAAGGCUGUGACGGGUAACGGUAUUACUUUGUAAUAUUCCGGAGAAGGAGCCUGAGAGACGGCUACUAAGUCUAAGGAUUGCAGCAGGGGCGAAACUUGACCUAUGGAUUUUAUCUGAGGCAGUUAUGGGAAGUAAUAUUAUAUUGUUUCAUAUUUUAAAAGUAUAUGAGGUGAUUAAUUGGAGGGCAAAUCAAGUGCCAGCAGCCGCGGUAAUACUUGUUCCAAGAGUGUGUAUGAUGAUUGAUGCAGUUAAAAAGUCCGUAGUUUAUUUUUUAAGAAGCAAUAUGAGGUGUACUGUAUAGUUGGGAGAAAGAUGAAAUGUGACGACCCUGACUGGACGAACAGAAGCGAAAGCU
RNAcentral lists this ribosomal RNA (556 nucleotides) under Vairimorpha ceranae. RNAcentral's name for it is "SSU rRNA". It matches the Rfam family "Microsporidia small subunit ribosomal RNA", at positions 1 to 606 of the family's 1311-position model. The record is from RNAcentral. Lineage: Eukaryota; Fungi; Microsporidia; Nosematidae.